UGGGGAAUAUUGGGCAAUGGGCGCAAGCCUGACCCAGCCAUGCCGCGUGAGUGAUGAAGGCCUUCGGGUCGUAAAGCUCUGUGGAGGGGGAAGAAACCUCUUGUGGCUAAUAUCCACGAGAAUUGACGGUACCCCUUUAGCAAGCACCGGCUAACUCCGUGCCAGCAGCCGCGGUAAUACGGAGGGUGCAAACGUUGCUCGGAAUCAUUGGGCGUAAAGCGCACGUAGGCGGCUCGUUAAGUCGGAUGUGAAAGCCCUGGGCUCAACCCAGGAAGUGCAUACGAAACUGGCGAGCUUGAAUAUGGAAGAGGGUCGCGGAAUUCCCGGUGUAGAGGUGAAAUUCGUAGAUAUCGGGAGGAACACCAGUGGCGAAGGCGGCGACCUGGGCCAAUAUUGACGCUGAGGUGCGAAAGCGUGGGGAGCAAACAGGAUUAGAUACCCCCGUAGUCC
This 450-nucleotide ribosomal RNA is filed under the name uncultured bacterium. RNAcentral describes it as "bacterial SSU rRNA". It matches the Rfam family "Bacterial small subunit ribosomal RNA", at positions 355 to 796 of the family's 1533-position model. The record is from RNAcentral.